Molecule: non-coding RNA, 85 nt
Organism: Mucidula mucida
Lineage: Eukaryota; Fungi; Basidiomycota; Agaricomycetes; Agaricales; Physalacriaceae
Source: the annotation of a GenBank genome assembly
UCGGAUAUGGUGUAACGGCUAACAUUGCCGCCCCUCAUGUUCGUAAUGUACGCGGCAGCUCGGGGUUCGAUUCCCCGUAUCCGAA